GAACGUAUGGCUUAGUGGCCAGAGCGCUUGAACGAUUUUCAAGAGGCAUAGAUUCAAAUCCCGCUAUGUUCA
Molecule: transfer RNA, 72 nt
Filed under: Heliconius melpomene (postman butterfly)
Lineage: Eukaryota; Metazoa; Arthropoda; Insecta; Lepidoptera; Nymphalidae
Description: tRNA HMEL016150
Rfam family: tRNA
About the family: Transfer RNA (tRNA) molecules are approximately 80 nucleotides in length. Their secondary structure includes four short double-helical elements and three loops (D, anti-codon, and T loops).
Source: RNAcentral